CUGGUAAAUCAUUCUAAGUGAGGCUUUCUAACAUCUUACUAGCCUAGGAUUAACAUCAGCCCAUUUUUCGGAGGAAACCAACGAGACUGGCUAUUUGACUGGAUCCCCCAAUUGGUUUACUCCAAGAUUCCUCUUCAUUGGCUUAAGAAGAUACAAGACAGGAGUCUCCAAUCCUUAGACCAUGGACCAAUAUCAACCAUGGCCAGUUAGCAACCCGGUAGCAAAGCAGGAGGAAUAUGUUUAAUACUGUUCAGAAGAAGAGAAGGAAAGAAAAGCAAAAAGAACAGAGGAAAAGAAAGCCAGAGGCAAGGAAUAAAAAAGUCCUAUACAAAAAGACUCCACCACGAAGAAGAUUGAGAGGCACAAGGAAAAUCAACCCUGAGAAGUAAAUACUGUUGCUGUCAUCCCCAUUUUACAAAUGAGGAAACAAAAAUAGAGAAAUGAAGCAAUUUGUUCAAGAUCACUCUGCUAGCAAGCAACAGAACCAGGAGUUUAACCCAGAGCAUAGCAGAGAACAAACAAGGAGGAGGAAGAACAGGAGGAGGAGGGGGAAAAGAGGAGGAAGAAGAAAGAAAGACUAAAGAAGAAGAAAGAAGGAAGGAGGAGGGGAGAAAAAGAAAAUAAUAAUGAUAGUCUCAAUUUUAGACUAUUAUGUACCAUAUUAAGGACUUAACAUUCACUCCCUCACUCAUACAUUUUUUCAAGGUAAAUGUGCUGUUAUCCCCAUAGCAUAGACACCUCUGGACUUCUGAAACAGAAUCCUGUGACCACCGUGGAUGAAACAUAGACUCUCAUUAAGCUGCAGUUCCAAUGCCUGAGUAACGUGAAUUGCUUCUAUGAUAAGGCAUUAUUUAGCCUUUGCCUGAAACAGCCCUAAUGAGAAGGAUCUCGCCACCUCAUGGCACGGUCCAUUUCAUUUUCAGAAGCUUUCUUUGUAAUCUGUGCUUAUAAAAUUGUUAACAGGGGAUAGCUAAUAAAAUGGCCUCCUAAAAACUCUA
Pan troglodytes (chimpanzee) is the source of this 998-nucleotide long non-coding RNA. RefSeq lists it as uncharacterized. The record is from RefSeq and is a predicted model, not a curated record. The transcript is spliced from 6 exons. NCBI's taxonomy places the organism in Eukaryota, Metazoa, Chordata, Mammalia, Primates, Hominidae.